Molecule: ribosomal RNA, 1227 nt
Filed under: Klebsiella michiganensis
Lineage: Bacteria; Pseudomonadati; Pseudomonadota; Gammaproteobacteria; Enterobacterales; Enterobacteriaceae
Description: partial 23S ribosomal RNA
Rfam family: Bacterial large subunit ribosomal RNA
Source: RNAcentral
AGGCACUACGGUGCUGAAGUGACAAAUGCCCUGCUUCCAGGAAAAGCCUCUAAGCAUCAGGUAACAUCAAAUCGUACCCCAAACCGACACAGGUGGUCAGGUAGAGAAUACCAAGGCGCUUGAGAGAACUCGGGUGAAGGAACUAGGCAAAAUGGUGCCGUAACUUCGGGAGAAGGCACGCUGAUGGUAGGUGAAGCGACUUGCUCGUGGAGCUGAAAUCAGUCGAAGAUACCAGCUGGCUGCAACUGUUUAUUAAAAACACAGCACUGUGCAAACACGAAAGUGGACGUAUACGGUGUGACGCCUGCCCGGUGCCGGAAGGUUAAUUGAUGGGGUUAUCCGUAAGGAGAAGCUCUUGAUCGAAGCCCCGGUAAACGGCGGCCGUAACUAUAACGGUCCUAAGGUAGCGAAAUUCCUUGUCGGGUAAGUUCCGACCUGCACGAAUGGCGUAAUGAUGGCCAGGCUGUCUCCACCCGAGACUCAGUGAAAUUGAACUCGCUGUGAAGAUGCAGUGUACCCGCGGCAAGACGGAAAGACCCCGUGAACCUUUACUAUAGCUUGACACUGAACACUGGUCCUUGAUGUGUAGGAUAGGUGGGAGGCUUUGAAGUGUGGACGCCAGUCUGCAUGGAGCCAUCCUUGAAAUACCACCCUUUAAUGGCUGGUGUUCUAACGUGGGCCCCUGAUCGGGGUUGCGGACAGUGUCUGGUGGGUAGUUUGACUGGGGCGGUCUCCUCCUAAAGAGUAACGGAGGAGCACGAAGGUCAGCUAAUCCUGGUCGGACAUCAGGAGGUUAGUGCAAUGGCAUAAGCUGGCUUGACUGCGAGCGUGACGGCGCGAGCAGGUGCGAAAGCAGGUCAUAGUGAUCCGGUGGUUCUGAAUGGAAGGGCCAUCGCUCAACGGAUAAAAGGUACUCCGGGGAUAACAGGCUGAUACCGCCCAAGAGUUCAUAUCGACGGCGGUGUUUGGCACCUCGAUGUCGGCUCAUCACAUCCUGGGGCUGAAGUAGGUCCCAAGGGUAUGGCUGUUCGCCAUUUAAAGUGGUACGCGAGCUGGGUUUAGAACGUCGUGAGACAGUUCGGUCCCUAUCUGCCGUGGGCGCUGGAGAAUUGAGGGGGGCUGCUCCUAGUACGAGAGGACCGGAGUGGACGCAUCACUGGUGUUCGGGUUGUCAUGCCAAUGGCAUUGCCCGGUAGCUAAAUGCGGAAGAGAUAAGUGCUGAAAGCA